UUCGCGUUUCGACGUCGACGUUAAAUGUUAGCAUGACGAUGGAUGUAAGUUACGCAUCUGUUGCAUCUUUCGUUUUUCGAUUCAGCGACGAACGCGUGCACUUUUCUUCUGGUAGAACGUCGCGAUCCGUUGGGUGUCGGUCUACGAUUUGUAGUGGAGCUCAGAUGUUACACUGCAGUUCAGGCUGUAGUGGACACGUUUGAACCUAUAUCUCUCCGACCGACUUGCCUGACGGUAUACGAACGGUUUAGGGUCGCUCUUGGAGCGUUCGGCACCGAGCAAGCGCGCCAGCUGUUUCGAUGAUCGGACUUUGUGCUGAUCGCGAUCACUGGUGACUGUUGGCUAGGAUUGUCUUGAACCGACCUGACUCGCUCCUAAAAAACCGAUCUGCGGCGCUAUAGCUUUGGGUACUUUCAGGACCCGUCUUGAAACACGGACCAAGGAGUCUAGCAUGUACGCAAGUCAUUGGGAUUGAUUAAACCUAAAGGCGAAAUGAAAGUAAAAAUUCCUCGUAUGGGGAAUAGAGGGAGGACGAAUAGUUUUACCAGUAAACGGUAGCUAAUCUGCACUCCCGGGGCGUCUCAUUCUCAUCGCGAGUAGAGGCGCACCAAGAGCGUACACGCUGGGACCCGAAAGAUGGUGAACUAUGCCUG
RNAcentral lists this ribosomal RNA (653 nucleotides) under Scolytoplatypus javanus. Its description in RNAcentral is "eukaryotic LSU rRNA". It matches the Rfam family "Eukaryotic large subunit ribosomal RNA", at positions 498 to 839 of the family's 3401-position model. Lineage: Eukaryota; Metazoa; Arthropoda; Insecta; Coleoptera; Curculionidae. The record is from RNAcentral.